AAUAUUGGACAAUGGGGGCAACCCUGAUCCAGCCAUGCCGCGUGAGUGAAGAAGGCCCUCGGGUUGUAAAGCUCUUUUGUCCGGAAAGAAAAGCAUUCGGUGAAUACCCGGAUGUUCUGACGGUACCGGAAGAAUAAGCACCGGCUAACUUCGUGCCAGCAGCCGCGGUAAUACGACGGGUGCAAGCGUUACUCGGAAUUACUGGGCGUAAAGCGUGCGUAGGUGGUUGUUUAAGUCUGAUGUGAAAGCCCUGGGCUCAACCUGGGAAUGGCAUUGGAAACUGGGCAGCUAGGGUGCAGUAGAGGGUAGUGGAAUUCCCGGUGUAGCAGUGAAAUGCGUAGAGAUCGGGAGGAACAUCUGUGGCGAAGGCGACUUCCUGGACCAGCACUGACGCUGAGGCACGAAAGCGUGGGGAGCAAACA
This 422-nucleotide ribosomal RNA is filed under the name uncultured bacterium. Its description in RNAcentral is "bacterial SSU rRNA". It matches the Rfam family "Bacterial small subunit ribosomal RNA", at positions 360 to 774 of the family's 1533-position model. The record is from RNAcentral.